Molecule: ribosomal RNA, 306 nt
Filed under: Bacillus subtilis
Lineage: Bacteria; Bacillati; Bacillota; Bacilli; Caryophanales; Bacillaceae
Description: bacterial SSU rRNA
Rfam family: Bacterial small subunit ribosomal RNA
Source: RNAcentral
UCAUCAUGCCCCUUAUGACCUGGGCUACACACGUGCUACAAUGGACAGAACAAAGGGUAGCGAAACCGCGAGGUUAAGCCAAUCCCACAAAUCUGUUCUCAGUUCGGAUCGCAGUCUGCAACUCGACUGCGUGAAGCUGGAAUCGCUAGUAAUCGCGGAUCAGCAUGCCGCGGUGAAUACGUUCCCGGGCCUUGUACACACCGCCCGUCACACCACGAGAGUUUGUAACACCCGAAGUCGGUGAGGUAACCUUUUAGGAGCCAGCCGCCGAAGGUGGGACAGAUGAUUGGGGUGAAGUCGUAACAA